RNAcentral lists this ribosomal RNA (543 nucleotides) under uncultured archaeon. Its description in RNAcentral is "bacterial SSU rRNA". It matches the Rfam family "Bacterial small subunit ribosomal RNA", at positions 509 to 1050 of the family's 1533-position model. The record is from RNAcentral.
CAGCAGCCGCGGUAAUACGUAGGGGGCAAGCGUUGUCCGGAAUUACUGGGCGUAAAGGGUGCGUAGGCGGCCUAAUAAGUCAGAUGUGAAAUACCGAGGCUCAACCUCGGAGGUGCAUUUGAAACUGUUGGGCUUGAGUGCAGGAGAGGAAAGUGGAAUUCCUAGUGUAGCGGUGAAAUGCGUAGAGAUUAGGAGGAACACCAGUGGCGAAGGCGACUUUCUGGACUGUAACUGACGCUGAGGCACGAAAGCGUGGGGAGCAAACAGGAUUAGAUACCCUGGUAGUCCACGCCGUAAACGAUGGAUACUAGGUGUAGGGGGUAUCGACCCCCCCUGUGCCGGAGUUAACGCAAUAAGUAUCCCGCCUGGGGAGUACGGCCGCAAGGCUGAAACUCAAAGGAAUUGACGGGGGCCCGCACAAGCAGCGGAGCAUGUGGUUUAAUUCGAAGCAACGCGAAGAACCUUACCAGGGCUUGACAUCCCUCUGGCCGGUACAGAGAUGUACCUUUUCUUCGGAACAGAGGAGACAGGAGGUGCAUGGCC